RNA transcript from Homo sapiens (human), 4412 nucleotides. It is a transcript of the gene named olfactory receptor family 1 subfamily J member 2, with no coding region annotated. The record is from RefSeq and is marked provisional. Lineage: Eukaryota; Metazoa; Chordata; Mammalia; Primates; Hominidae. The transcript has 4 exons.
GGGGGUGGGGCCAUAGGGCUCUCAAGGGAUUAUGUCCUUUGUCUUUGGCUACCAGGUCAGCUAGAGAAAGACCAUCAGGUAGGGGCAGGGUUAGGCAUGUCUGAGCUCAGGCUCGCCUUUGGUGAGGCUUGCUGUGGCUGCUGUGGGGGCUGGGAGUGUGGUUCCCAGGCCAAUGGAGUUAUGUUCCCAGGGGAAUUAUGGUUGCUUCUGCUGUGUCACACAGGUCACUAGGGAAGUGGGGGAAAGCCGGCAGUCACAGGUCUCACCCAGAUCCCAUGCAGCCCACAGCCUGAAAGGCUGGUCUCACUCCCAAGGUGCUCCCCCGCCCCCACCGCCCGCCAGCAGCAGCGAGUUUAUUUCUAGGUAGCCGGUGAGCAGGGCUGAGAAUGUUCUGCAGGCUCCAAGCCUCUCAGCUGAGAAAGCAAGCAAACUCACAGUUCCUCAGUUGUCCCACAGAGCCUGCAGCAGCAAUCCACCUCCCUCAAAGGGUCUGUGGAUUCUUUCAGCUUUCCUGGUAUGUUCUUGUGGCAGUUCUUAGAGCAAAAGUUCAUGGUGUGUGUCUACACAUGCCACUCUGUCCGACCUAGUGGGGGCUGCAAGUUAGUUUUGCCUCCUAUCCGCCAUUUUCCCUCUAUUGGAAGUACACUUGAAGUGAGAGUACCUUUGGAAAAGAUUGGUGACUCUUGGAACUGGGUGAGGAACUGGGUAGGUAACCACAAUUGAGCCCUUGGCAAUCUAAGCUUCCAUGGAUCAUCUUUCUUCUGCCCAGGAAGAAAAUACUUCAGGGAUCUUAACCCAAAAGCAUGGAGGUCCACACCAUCCUCCAGGAUACUACAGUUGACAACUGGAUCCCAUCUCCUGUGGAUUCCCUCUCUGCCUAAGAGCAGUCCCCGCUGCAUCCUUGUUAGUCAAGGCGACUGAGGAGAUAGUCAUGGGAUUCCUCCCUGACUGUGUUUUUUCCUCAUGCCAUGGAAGCCGUUUUACACACUCAUCACACUUGGCAUUUUUCUGCUAGCGGACUAACCUCCUAUGAACCUCUUCUACUUACUAUUCAUCAUAUUAUUCAAUCAUGCUGCAAUAACCUUAACCCUGUGGCUCUCUGGACCUCUCCAUCAGAUGAAACACCACAUGGCUGCUUAACUCUGACAGACCAGCUUUUAAUUCCUUGGGAGCAAUUCCUGUGGACAAUGCUGAGUUGUCCUGGUUUACAGAUGGCUCACAUUUAAAGAAUGAGUCUGGCAAGUAUUGUGCAGGCUGUGCAGUCGUGACUUCCUUUGAGAUUGUGAAAGCAGCUCAUUUACUAUUAACUACUUCAGCCCAGCAGGCAGAUCUGUUUGCCCUCGCUUGAGCCUGACUCCUUGCUACAGGAAAGACAAUGUUUAUGUAAGCAGCAGGUCUUGGUGCCUCAGUUGAAACUUCCAAUUUAACAUCCUGACACACACUACUCCCUCUUCCUGUGAUCAUCAGAACAAGAUAAAACCUUGUGUGUCUGGAUAGUUCUCAUCUGUUAAGAUUCAGGCUCAACCACACAUGUGACAAUGUCUCUUGGGGACGCAGCGGUGAAUUCCUCUCACAGUAUGUCUAAGGAGCAUUGGCUCAGUGAGAUUUCACAUUCAGUGGAUUUCAGCCAUCUCAUCAAUUUCUCCAUGCUACUGAAAUCUCAUUGUUCCACUCAGAAUUUGUCUUUUCCCCAGGAUGGCUUUCAAAGCAUUUUACUGACUGUGUCAAGCCAGAGUAAGUAAAAUGCUGAUGAGUUUGGAUUUCCUCCUCCAGUCUCUCGGCCUUUGUGUUUUAUUGUUUUGUAUCUCAUUUCUAUAUGACAUCAGAUGCUGUAUUAGAAAUUCCUGCUUGAUCUUGAAAUAUAUCAAAGGUACUGACUGAUGAGGCAUUAAACACAACUUAAAUUCAGUCUUUAAUCACUACCACUUUUAAAACAUUUAAUAGUGUAAUUACGAAAAAUUCAUAAAGACUUGGAAACUUCACAUCAUAAUAAAUUCAGAUAUUAGCGAGGCUGUCAGAUGCUGUUACUCUAUUCUAAAUACCAGUACCAGAAGGACGAGACAAUUUCUCAACAUAUUUGGAAAUAAUACUUCAGGUUAAGAUAUGAGCUGGAUGUCUUAUUUUGGUCUAUUCUUUUUCAUGUUUCCAUGUUCCUUUCUCUUUUUCUUGAAAGAUUAGACCUAGAAUCUAUCAUAACCAACUAAUGCAUACUCUAUAUAAAUUUGUUGAUCAAAUAAAAUGUUAGAGCUAUUUAAAUUUAUCAUAACAGCUUUAUUAAAAAACUUUUACUGGGCUUAGUUCAAGAACCAGCUUUGCUCUAACAAUCCUGGGGCCCCAUGUUAUUUAGUUGCCACAUGGCCUCACAUUCAAAGAAAUACAAUCUAAAAGCUAAAAGUAAUUUUAACAGGAAUUCUGUUCUUUCAGCAUCUCUGAAAUAGCUUAUAAGCGAUUUAUUUUUCAACUCACAUCAAUAUUUAUCAAAGUACUCUUUUUUUUAAUAAAAAGAGAGGGCAGGGAUUCACUAUAACAUAUCACAGCUUGUUACAAAUAAUAAAUAUUUGCAAGUGAUUAAAACAAAUAAAUAUUUGCAAGGAUAAACCAAUAAAAUAAUGAAGAAAAAUAUAGAGCUUAGAAAUAGACAUGUUUAUAAUGAGGACCAUGAGAUUGACAAAAGUGCAUUAUAAAUCAGUGAUAAAGUAGUAAAAAGGAAGAACUGUUCAUUAAGUGGUGCUGAGGAAGUUGGCUAUCAAUAAAGGAAAAAUAAUACUAUAUCCCUACCUCACAUCAUUAGAAAACUUUAUAGAUUAUGUUUAUGGCCUUAGGUUAAAACAUAUUUCUUUCUAACUUGUAUUUUAUGUUCAAGGGUAUAAGUGCAGGUUUGUUACGUAGGUAAACUUGUGUCAUGGGGGUUUGUUGUACAGAUUAUUUCAUCACCCAGGUAUUUCUUUUUUUUUUUUGGCUGUUGAAUCCUUUUGAAGGAUCUAAAAACAAAUUUUAUUAGAAAGAAAAUGUAUUUGCUUCUUUUUUUUAUUAUUAUACUUUAAGUUCUAGGGUACAUGUGCACAACAUGCAGGUUUGUUACAUAUGUAUACAUCAUCACCCAGGUAUUAAGCUUAGUACCCAUUCGUUAUUUUUCCUGAUCUCUCCCUCCUCCCACCAUCCACCCUCUAUUUUUUAUUUUAUUUUAUUUUUUAUUUUUUGUUGAGAUGGAGUCUUGCUCUGUCACCAGGCUGGAGUGCAGUGGCACAAUCCCGGCUCACUGCAACCUCUGCCUCCCGGGUUCAAGUGAUUCUCCUGCCUCAGCCUCCCGAGUAGCUGGGAUUACAGGUGUGCACCACUACGCCCAGCUAAUUUUUGUACUUUUUAAUAGAGACGGGGUUUCACCAUGUUGGCCAGGAUGGUCUUGAUCUCUUGACCUUGUGAUCUGCCCGCCUCGGCCUCCCAAAAUGCUGGGAUUACAGGCGUGAGCCACUGCGCCCGGCCCCAUCCACCCUCUAAAAGGCCCUAGUGUGAGUUAUUCCCCUCUAUGUGUCCAUGUGUUCUCAUCAUUUAGCUCCCACUUACAAGUGAGAACAUGCAGUAUUUGGUUUUCUUUUCCUGUGUUAGUUUGCUAAGCAUAAUGGACUUUGGCUUCAUCCAUGUCCCUGCAAAGGACAUGAUCUCAUUCGUUUUUCAUGGUAAAGCGCAUUUCUUAAUCAAGAUCCCCAAAGCACACAGGAUAAAUGAAUCUUCCUUUAAGUUUGAUAACAUUAAAAUGAAGUUUCAUUACGACAGCAACCACCAACACCACAAAGCCACAGAUGGGAGAAUAUAUACUGCCACAAAUCAACAAAACACUAGUAUUCCGGACACAUAGAGAACUCCUAUAAAUCAAUAAAGAAAAGACAAAAGCUCAAUAAGGAAAAGACAAGCUCAAUUAAAAUAUGGCAAAAAAUACAAACUAGAAACUCACAGAAAAUGAAGUCCGAAUGGCCAAUAAACAUAUUAAGCAUGUGAGGGGUCCACUUUCAAAGUGAUAAAGUAAAUAAAAGUUAAAACAAUGGUAAGAUAGCACUGAUGAAAUUUUAAAAAUAUACAUGAAGACACCAUGAAUUGGCAAGUAUACGAAGAAAAGGAACUCUGAUACAUUGCUAUAAGAUGGUUAAAUUGGGAAGGAUAGUCUCUUCAAUAAAUGGUGAUGGAAAAACUGGAUAUGCACAUGCAGAACAAUGAAGCUAGACCCCUAUCCUUUAUCAUAUAUAAAAAUAAACUGUAAGAGGAUUAAGGACUUAAAUAUAAGAUCCAAAACAGUAAAACUAUUAGAAGAAAACAUAGGGGAAAUGCUUCAUGACAUUAAUUUAGACAAGGAUUUUUUUGACAAGAGCUCAAAAGCACAGGUAACAAAAGCAAAAAUAGACAAAUAAGAUUAUAUC